GCGGACUGAGCCACCCAGGCUCCCCAUUGUUGCAUGCUAACCUCUCUACUCUGCAACUUCAUGCCUCUUUGUGGCUUCAUAUCCUUCACGGCAAACACAGGGCAGAGCAGGAAUGAGGCGCCAGCCUGCUGCCGCUCGCUCUUCAGCCCCUACUGGAGAACCACUGCGCCAUCAGAGCAGAGCACUUUAGGGGCAGGCUUGUCUCCUCGGGCACCAGUCUCUCCACCCGGGCGUCAUAGUGAGGAGGCAGAGGUCACUUCCCCGAUGCCCCGGACAGUGUGAGGGGAGCCUUUGGGAAAGGCGUGUGAGGACGCGGGAGUAUGACAACCAGAAUGAGGAAGGUGCUGGAAAAGGAGCCUGGACUGCCAAGCCACAAAGCUUGGACUUUUUGUGCAGAUAAAGAAAACCUUGGAGGGUUUUUUAAGGCAACACGAGGUUCAGAAUGAGGUCCUAACUGGGAAAGAUCCAGAGACAGGAGUUUGGAGCAAAAACUAACCUGAAGUCGUAGGGAAGUAGUUGCCCAAACAAAAUUAUGGUCAUCUGGGUAUUCCAAUUCAACACCUUGAUAGAUCCCAUUCUCCUCAACAUCACAAUAAACAGGUAUAAA
Canis lupus familiaris (dog) is the source of this 607-nucleotide long non-coding RNA. RefSeq lists it as uncharacterized. The transcript has 3 exons. Lineage: Eukaryota; Metazoa; Chordata; Mammalia; Carnivora; Canidae. The record is from RefSeq and is a predicted model, not a curated record.